Molecule: ribosomal RNA, 478 nt
Filed under: uncultured bacterium
Lineage: Bacteria
Description: partial 16S ribosomal RNA
Rfam family: Bacterial small subunit ribosomal RNA
Source: RNAcentral
GAUGAACGCUGGCGGCGUGCUUAACACAUGCAAGUCGAACGGGAAACCUUUUAUUGAAGCUUCGGCAGAUUUCGCUGGUUUCUAGUGGCGGACGGGUGAGUAACGCGUGGGUAACCUGCCUUAUACAGGGGGAUAACAGUCAGAAAUGGCUGCUAAUACCGCAUAAGCGCACAGAGCUGCAUGGCUCAGUGUGAAAAACUCCGGUGGUAUAAGAUGGACCCGCGUUGGAUUAGCUGGUUGGUGGGGUAACGGCCCACCAAGGCGACGAUCCAUAGCCGGCGUGAGAGGGUGAACGGCCACAUUGGGACUGGGACACGGCCCAGACUCCUACGGGAGGCAGCAGUGGGGAAUAUUGCACAAUGGGGGAAACCCUGAUGCAGCGACGCCGCGUGAAGGAAGAAGUAUCUCGGUAUGUAAACUUCUAUCAGCAGGGAAGAUAAUGACGGUACCUGACGAAGAAGCCCCGGCUAACUACGUG